GUUGGCUGGGGACUAAAUGCAUUACAAAGUGCAAACCACACCACAGGGAUCAUCUGUGUACUUUUAGAAAGCUAGAGACCAAAUCCAAAAUUUUGGUAAACGAUAGGGACCGUCCGUGUACGUUACUAUUAAUUCUAGGAAAACGUAUGUUUAAUAUUGUUAUUUAUGGUGAUGUAACUAACUAUACAUUUUACAUAGGAACCUUGAAGCAAAUAACUUUUCGGGAACUGUUCCUUCUGAUUUGGGGAGAUUAAUAAAUUUACAAACAUUGAUUUUGUCCUCAAACCGGUUGACGGGAACGUUGCCAGCAUCCCUUGCUGAAUUGAGCAAUUUAAAAGAUUUCAGGAUAAGUGACAACAAUCUCAGUGGGUCCAUACCUAAUUUCAUAGAGAAUUGGAGACAACUCAAUAAACUAGAACUAAUUGGGACGGGGCUUUCGGGACCGAUUCCUUCAUCCAUUUCCUUUCUGAACUUAACUGACGCGAGAAUUUGUGAACUAAGUGGACCAACUCAGAGAUUCCGUCCGUUAGAUAAUGUUGUUGGUUUACUAACACUGUAUGUAGAAUGUCUUGUAUUUCAAAUUGUCGUUGUAAUCUAAUAUAUUGGUUUGUGUUUUAACGUGUAUAAAAUCAUAAUAUUUAUGUCAAU
Helianthus annuus (common sunflower) is the source of this 648-nucleotide long non-coding RNA. RefSeq lists it as uncharacterized. The transcript has 5 exons. The record is from RefSeq and is a predicted model, not a curated record. Lineage: Eukaryota; Viridiplantae; Streptophyta; Magnoliopsida; Asterales; Asteraceae.